RNAcentral lists this ribosomal RNA (374 nucleotides) under uncultured bacterium. RNAcentral's name for it is "partial 16S ribosomal RNA". It matches the Rfam family "Bacterial small subunit ribosomal RNA", at positions 338 to 710 of the family's 1533-position model. The record is from RNAcentral.
CCUACGGGAGGCAGCAGUGAGGAAUAUUGGUCAAUGGGCGCGAGCCUGAACCAGCCAAGUCGCGUGAGGGAAGACGGUCCUAUGGAUUGUAACCCUCUUUUGUCGGGGAGCAAAAGACGCCACGCGUGGCGUUCCGAGAGUACCCUAAGAAAAAGCAUCGGCAAACUCCGUGCCAGCCGCCGCGGUAAUACGGAGGAUGCGAGCGUUAUCCGGAUUUAUUGGGUUAAGGGGGUGCGAAGGCGGAAGUUAAAGUCAGCGGUAAAAUUGAGGGGCUCAACCUCGUCGAGCCGUUGAAACUGGUUUUCUUGAGUGAGUGAGAAGUAUGCGGAAUGCGUGGUGUAGCGGUGAAAUGCAUAGAUAUCACGCAGAACUCC